Long non-coding RNA from Mastomys coucha (southern multimammate mouse), 880 nucleotides. RefSeq lists it as uncharacterized. The record is from RefSeq and is a predicted model, not a curated record. NCBI's taxonomy places the organism in Eukaryota, Metazoa, Chordata, Mammalia, Rodentia, Muridae. The transcript has 3 exons.
AGAGGCUAGACCAGCUGAGAUCAAGAUCUGCAUGCUGGAAAUGGCUACUAGUUGUGUGAGCCCUGCCCUCCAUCCUGGGGAACAUGGAGCUUGGCUUCUUGGCCUCUAGAUGAACUUAAGCACAAAUGCAGGAUGUGGCAGAAGAGGGUGGGAGCCCAGGGGGCAACAUUCUGCUGGUUUGGCCUGGUCUAGAUGAGGUGGAUCUGAAGCAAGAAUAUGAACAGCCUAGGACAAGAGGCACCUAGGGCUUGGCACUCUGGGAAACUACAGUAGGUUGGAUAAAGGGCGUGGCUGCUGCCAGGACAGGGUGUUUCCCUGGAGGAAGGCCCUGAAGUCUGAAAGUCAAAAUUUUGAAGAUGUUGUUGAAGUCAGAAGUCAACUUUGGGCAUUCUUCCUUCUGCCACUCAGCUGCCAGGGAUUGAACUCAGACUAGGAGUUUUGUAAAGACUCCAUGCUUGGACCAGGGAUGAAGGAGAUACCUACUGUCUGGUAAAGACACCCGAAGUCCUUUGAAAAACUACAGAAAACUGAGAACUCGGCAAUUAUCUUUGGAGUUACACUCUCUUCUGAGCUGGUCCUGUUUCUUGGUUCCUGUCUCUUGCUUCCUUUCCAGGACUCACUGAAUACUUUCAAUAGUCUCUUCCUCAGAGGGGAAAGGAAACCCAUCUGGAGUGAGGUUUACCUAUGAAGGGAGAACGUAGUUAUAUUUUUGCAUAUUAUGUAAAAUCUUGUUAUAUUUUAGAUAUCUCCAACUAUCACAUUGAAAUCCAGUCUCCAUUGUUAGAUAUUAAGAGAGAGAUUCCAUUGAGACCUUUAAGGCUUGGUUGGGUUAGCCUCUUAUGGACUAUUGAGUUAUGAAUAAAGUGACUUUUAAAACAAA